Long non-coding RNA from Antechinus flavipes (yellow-footed antechinus), 1253 nucleotides. RefSeq lists it as uncharacterized. NCBI's taxonomy places the organism in Eukaryota, Metazoa, Chordata, Mammalia, Dasyuromorphia, Dasyuridae. The transcript is spliced from 2 exons. The record is from RefSeq and is a predicted model, not a curated record.
AAUGGGGGGGAGGAUGCCCCCGACGUUCAGGGCAGCAGGAGGAGACUUCCGCCCCAGGGAGGGAACUCCUGUAUCCUCGAGGGGUGAGGGUCAGCCCGGACCAGGCCGGCUCCCGGGCAGGUGCCGUGCGGAAAGGGGGGUUGGGCGCGGCAGAUGGCUAACGGGAGGGGGGGAGGGAAGCUGACCGCAGCCACCAGCAGCCGCUGCUCCCGCUUAUGCCUUUGCCAUGGAGACGGGGAAAGGGAAAGAAACCCCGGGCCUGGAGCUCCGCCCCGUAGGCUCCCUGGGCUCCGCCCCGGGCGUGGCCAGCAGCUCUUCCCCCUCCUUCCCCCCAACCUGUGGCGGGUACCGCUCCGCAGCACCAGGACGGACUACAGCUCCCAGCAGCCUCCGAGGCCCAGGAAAGGGCUCUCUCCGCAAAAGCGGCCCGGGGCGCUCCUGGGAGCCGUAGUCCCAACCCUUGCCGAACGCCGGGACCCGCUGCUGGACCCGACUUGCUGACAGCUCGUGGCCUGGCCUUCCCUGGGAGUCCGGGACGCGGGACUUCAGGAGCCAUGUGGCCCCAGCCCCGACCCACACCAGGACGACAGGAGACGGCUCCAGACAAACCGGGAGGCCUCGGCCUGAGGUCUCUGACAGGUCUCCGUUUGACCCAAGGUGGAGACUAAGGCGAGGCAGCAGUUGAAACAAAGCAUCUUUUUCUAAUACAAAAACACCCCCAAACCCUAAUAAACCUAGAAGGGGACGACCUCGGGGGUCCUGGCCAAAGCAGAAGUCGGCGCUUUUCACGUCCAAGCUAAGUCAGUCACGACUCAAACACUAAGUGGGGCCUGGCCUGGGACCCAUUGGCGGUCAAUCAAUGAGAAUCAGGGGUUUAAGGCCCGAACCCUUAAAGGCCCUUUUCCUGGUCUCUUCCACGUGGAGGCUACGCCCUGCUGGCCGACUCAGAGCUCCAACUGGGCCAGCCACCAUGGGCGACCAAGUCUCCCCUCCCCCAAACCCAGGGGAUAAGACAAAUGACGGAGGAUGGGAAGGAUGGGUCCUGGCCCGGCUGCAGUCCCCGGACUGGGACAGUCUGGGCAGGAGGUCCAGUCUCUGGGGAACCCCGAGCUCUGCAAACUGCCUCUGGGAAAGCCCUUCUUUCCCACCACUUGGAGGUUUCGUCUUGGGGGAGAGGGGAAGAGCGAAUAAAAUCAGAGGCCCCCCCCUCCCGGAUUGAUUUUCUUUAUUAUUAAAGCUUUUUAUUUUCAAAA